GAGGUAAGUUGAUUCAUGAGCUGGUCUGCCUUGUACAUGCCUUCAAAUGAGGUCGUGGCUUUGCUUAUUCAGUUUGGUUCAAGACAGGCAGCCUGCUGUUUCUAUCGCUCUCUGCUCCUUCCGAAACGGGCCCGCCCUUCCCACUGGUCUCCUCGCCUGGACAGGGCCCCUGUUUACCUGCAGAAACAGCGCUUCCUAAAUGCAUGUUGGUCAAUUUCCACACACAUGGGGGAAGAGAAAGGGAGAUGAGGACAGGGAUCUCGGCCCUAUCUUUGUCUUUUGAUAGCUCCUGAGGGUUUUCUCAGGGCAACCAGGAAGGUGGGUGAAAUCAUUUGCCAAUGCACUGGCAGGUGGGGUACACUUGUCUGGCGGCCCCGUCUCCUUGUCCUGCCUCAUUUGGUGUUGACUGUGGGAGACACAGCCGGUGGCAAUCUUUGUGAAAGACACCGUUCACACGGGGCUAUUGCUGUCACCACGGUGUCACGGCUACAGGCAAGUCUUGGCCUGGGCCCACGUGUGGGUGCUGAAGGGGCACUGUGAGGCAACGAGGCAGGAGGGGGCCAUGAGGAAGUACUCACGGGCCUUCCGCUGUGCCUGGGGAUAUGCCGUUCCUGACCACCGCUGGAGUCGAAGCGUUUGAAGACUCACCUGGGAACAAACCACAUCUUCAUUUGUGCUGACCUCUACCUGUAGACAAAUGGAGUAUCCCCUUCCAGGGCAGGAUCGUAAGAUCCCUGAGGUUCCCAGAUGCUCAAGUCAAGUCACCAGCAGGACGGUGUGCCUUCCGGGUUGCUCCUGGGGAGAAGUCCAUUUCCUUGCCUUCUUUAGUGUCACCUGGAGGCUGCCCGCAGCCCUUGGCCUCGGCGCUUUGUCCUCUGCUUCCGUCCUUGCUCCUCCUCCAGCGUGGGGCUACGUGGCUGCAGCGGGUCGUGCUGGCCAGGGUUGGGGGAAGCUGGGUAGGAGCCCUGGAGUCCGCCCAGGCUGGGGAUCCCAGCUCGCCACCGGCAUGCCCCAUCUCCUUUUUACUGAGAUAUAAUCGACACAGCAUGAUGGAAGUGUAAGGUGUGCAGCCUUACACUGAUGGGAUGCAUUUAUGCCACGACAUGGUUGAUGCUGUAGCAUUGCUAACACCUCUACUGGACCCCAUAACUGUAAUUUCUCCCAGUGUCCCCAGCUCUGGGUGUGCCAGUUUGACACUGGAAAAGAGGGGACAAUAGCGAUGCUCACCCCGUGGGGAGGGGGUGGUUCUGUUUGGAUGAACCGAUAAAUUGGGGGUGCUUAAAAUAGCUGUGACGGGGGACGAAGGCAAAGGGGGGCUUGUUCUGGCCAUGGUCAGGGUGCCCAGCUGGCCCCAGCUGUUUGCAGGGGGUUUAAUGUUAUAAUCUCGAUAGUCCCAGACAGACGGGCUGAGGUGGUCACCCCACUAGGUGCCACCAUCACCAUGGUAAUCAGCACCGCCAGAGAGGAGAGGAGAGAGGUUGGUGCUGAGGGGCGGGAGCCCGGGGGGAUUUUGAUUCUCUUAACAAUUGACUCAAAAGGAUACCCUCCCUUUGGAACCCACCUUAAAAAACCGAGCGCUUCACAGAAGGGAACACAUGAAGUCCAGAGCCUCGGAACCCCAGCAUGAUGAAUGGACGGGGUUUGCGAGAGGGGCCUUGGGCGCCGUGCUCACGGGACCCCAGUUCACCAUGGACUUCCCGCUCGCGUGGAGACCAGCAGUGGGAUUCUGGGGCUUGGCUGUUUUUGCUGCAACCAAUGUUUGGUGACUAGAAUUUUUUCUUGACAGACCCGCAUGUUUUGGGAUCUCUUCCUAAGUGUUGUAAAAUCAGGAUUCUAUCCUCUGGGCUGAUAUUUCAGUGGAUUUGUUGCAGUUUAUACCCCCGCCCACAUGCUGGUAGCUGGUCUGAAAGCUGGAAAAGGCAGUAUUCUAAUGAUGCUUCCCGAGCACAUGACUACCGGGUUUAGGAAAGUUCAGAACUUUCUCGACGGCUAUAAGCUUUGCUUAUCACUCGUGAGUAAGGGAUUGGGAAAGUGUCAUGGUUGGUAACUAUUAGCACCUUUUUCACAUUUUUUAAUUGUGCGAUUUAAGAGUUGCAUUUAGAAUCAAUUUCAUGCACCUGUCUCUUUAAUAAAUGAGUAUCGCAUC
This is a long non-coding RNA of Lynx canadensis (Canada lynx), 2146 nucleotides long. RefSeq lists it as uncharacterized. NCBI's taxonomy places the organism in Eukaryota, Metazoa, Chordata, Mammalia, Carnivora, Felidae. The record is from RefSeq and is a predicted model, not a curated record. The transcript has 2 exons.